This 250-nucleotide ribosomal RNA is filed under the name uncultured bacterium. RNAcentral describes it as "partial 16S ribosomal RNA". It matches the Rfam family "Bacterial small subunit ribosomal RNA", at positions 524 to 774 of the family's 1533-position model. The record is from RNAcentral.
UACGGAGGAUGCGAGCGUUAUCCGGAAUCACUGGGCGUAAAGGGUGCGUAGGCGGCCUGACAAGUCAGAGGUGAAAGGCUACGGCUAAACCGAAGUAAGCCUUUGAAACUGUUGGGCUUGAGUGCAGGAGAGGUAAGUGGAAUUCCUAGUGUAGCGGUGAAAAGCGAAGAUAUUAGGAGGAACACCAGUGGCGAAGGCGACUUACUGGACUGUAACUGACGCUGAGGCACGAAAACGUGGGGAGCAAACA